This 253-nucleotide ribosomal RNA is filed under the name uncultured bacterium. RNAcentral describes it as "partial 16S ribosomal RNA". It matches the Rfam family "Bacterial small subunit ribosomal RNA", at positions 524 to 776 of the family's 1533-position model. The record is from RNAcentral.
UACGAAGGGGGCUAGCGUUGCUCGGAAUCACUGGGCGUAAAGCGCACGUAGGCGGUUCGUUAAGUCGGAUGUGAAAGCCCUCGGCUCAACUGAGGAAGUGCACCCGAAACUGGCGAGCUUGAGUACGAAAGAGGAUCGCGGAAUUCCCGGUGUAGAGGUGAAAUUCGUAGAUAUCAGGAGGAACACCGGUGGCGAAGGCGGGUCUCUGGGCCGAUACUGACGCUGAGGAGCGAAAGCGUGGGGAGCGAACAGG